This 465-nucleotide ribosomal RNA is filed under the name Vreelandella stevensii. RNAcentral describes it as "partial 16S ribosomal RNA". It matches the Rfam family "Bacterial small subunit ribosomal RNA", at positions 338 to 795 of the family's 1533-position model. The record is from RNAcentral. Lineage: Bacteria; Pseudomonadati; Pseudomonadota; Gammaproteobacteria; Oceanospirillales; Halomonadaceae.
CCUACGGGAGGCUGCAGUGGGGAAUAUUGGACAAUGGGGGCAACCCUGAUCCAGCCAUGCCGCGUGUGUGAAGAAGGCCCUCGGGUUGUAAAGCACUUUCAGUGAGGAAGAACGCCUGGUGGUUAAUACCCAUCAGGAAAGACAUCACUCACAGAAGAAGCACCGGCUAACUCCGUGCCAGCAGCCGCGGUAAUACGGAGGGUGCGAGCGUUAAUCGGAAUUACUGGGCGUAAAGCGCGCGUAGGUGGCUUGAUAAGCCGGUUGUGAAAGCCCCGGGCUCAACCUGGGAACGGCAUCCGGAACUGUCAAGCUAGAGUGCAGGAGAGGAAGGUAGAAUUCCCGGUGUAGCGGUGAAAUGCGUAGAGAUCGGGAGGAAUACCAGUGGCGAAGGCGGCCUUCUGGACUGACACUGACACUGAGGUGCGAAAGCGUGGGUAGCAAACAGGAUUAGAUACCCCUGAAGUC